Molecule: long non-coding RNA, 3433 nt
Filed under: Nicotiana tabacum (common tobacco)
Lineage: Eukaryota; Viridiplantae; Streptophyta; Magnoliopsida; Solanales; Solanaceae
Description: long non-coding RNA (NTAB_LNC015761)
Source: RNAcentral
GGGGGUAGAGGAGGGGGAAUAAAGCUGUUGUGCUCCUUACAAAUUGAAGUUGCUUCAACUAUUGACUAAGAUAAUCUGCGGAAAAGGGGGAGGCAGAUAUGUAGCAGAUGCUGUGUGUUUGUAAGAGAAGCAUAAUACAUUGCUAAUGGCUAAUUUUAAGAGAGGAUGAGGGAUCUAUGUGGGUUAGAAAGAAAGAAGUGAGAGGCGGUGAGAGAGAAGGGAAUGAGGAAAGAAGAAAAUAAUAAAAACCCUAAACUAUGUCUUUAAUAGUGGGUUAAAGGCUGAAAAGUUUCUUUCAAAUUAUGUAAAAUAUGGGCUAAAUAGGGUAAGAGCUUCAAAUAUGAGCCAUUUUCGGUUGGGCUAUUAGGUCAAGUGACAUGUGCUGUAAUCCUUUAAAAAAAAAACGUAUUUGUAAAAUUUCCCAUAAACUUCAUUCUGAACUUACGACACUAUUUAUAUUUAAGUCCUAACAACACUCCUAGUGCUCCACCGCAAUUUAUGAAUAAAUUAUUGCAAUGUUACAAUACAACUUGUACUAUACUCUUGGUGAUUCGCCAAAAUUUAUUGCAACCUCAUCUCAUCAGAAAUUCCUGGUGAUCCGUCAUUAGUUUUGGCAAGGCGAAUUUUGUGACAUUCGCCCGAAAUCAAACUCCAACUUCUAUCUCAAAGAUAUUUCUGCACAACUUUUCAAAUGGCACCGAAAUAGCUAAGCUUAUUUGUGUAACCCAUUCAUAUAAACCUCAUCUAGUGGGUCAAGGAGCUUAUCACCAUGAACAAGUGCCUUAAAGUUUGGACUCUAAAUAUCCUAACCUUCAAAUGCUGGGCCUUAACAUGAGCCUCAAACUUGAUAAUUCUAAAACGGCAAAUCCUACGAGAAGAGAGAGAGAGAGAGCGCUUACCAUGAAAUCUCGAAGAGCGAUUGGGCCUACCACGGCUCAUUUUGGACUGUUUUUGUAAUCGUCUUUGUUCUAAUAAGCCGGAGAUCUAUCGCCGCAACAGUUCCGCGGCUGUUCACUAUUCCUUUCCGCCGUGAUAAUCGCCGCUCGUGGCGGGCCUCGGCAGUACGCUGCGGAGGUGCGACAGAUAGUUUACACCUCCUUGAAGCUACGCGGUUGAAAGUUAAAAGUUGAGUUCGAGUAAUAGAUAGCGGAGUAAGAACAGUGGCGGAUGCAAGGUAAAAGAAUUUGUCCAUAACUUUUGAAUAAACUUAUGCGUAAAAAUAUAUUAAAAUUGGAACAAAUAGUAUAUUUGUACCCAUAAUUUUAAAAAUAUAAUGGGUUCAAUAUUAAAAACCUUAAAAUUAAACCCAUAAACUUUGAAUCUUGUAUCUGCCCGAGUAAGAAUCAUUCUAAGUAAAAGAAAGCAGCAAAACGAAAAAUAUUACUACUACUAGGUGCAUAUAAGUUAAAAAAGACAGAGAGGGUAUUUGACUAAGUUGGUCAAACUGGCUUAUAAGCUUUUUUAGGUUUAUUUACGUGUUUGAUAAAUACCCAAAGUGUUUAUAAGCCAUGUGCUUAUAAGCUAAAAUCAAUCAUAAAUCAUAAGUUGGUCAUCCCCAACUUAUGGCUUUUUAGCUUAUAAACACUUUUAGUUUGACCAAAGUUUUUACUAGUUUAUCCCUAAUAAUAUUUUCUAAUUCACAAAAUAUUUUUUCCAAAAUAAAAUUUCUAACUUUCUUUUCAUUUCAUAUUCGUUUUUCAUCUUUUUCUCAACAAAGAAACUUUUUAGUUUAUAAUCUUUUGUAAAGUUUUCAAGGAUAUCUUAGUUAUUUUAAUUAAAAAAAUAAAAUAAAUUAUCAGCAUUUUUCUACCAAACAUAUUAACUGCUUAUUAUCAGUUUCAAAACGUAGACAAACAAGUAAAUACUUAUUUGAAACAUCAGUUUCAAACUUAAAAAUAUUUUUCAACACUUCAAAUUUAUCAGCUAUUUACGAUCAACUAAUCCAAACGGGCUCUUAGAUUUGACACUAAAUCAUGCAAUAGAAAAUAAAAUAUGAACGGGAGAGUAAGGCUAUAUAUAAAUUAUAAUAUAGUAAUAUACGUAAGAGGUUUUUAUUAUCCAUAAUUACCCUCGUUUUUAAGUACAAAUAUAAAUAUGAAUUGAUCUGGUCAAGCAAUUCACCUUAUUGAUAAGAUAUCUUUAUUUUUAUUUUUAUUAUAUAAUUGCACCAAAAAAGAUAAAAGGUAAGGAGACGGUGAAAAUUGAACAGUUGCAUCUUCCACCAAUAUUGCCAAAUGUAAAAUUGUAUUAUUUCCGUAAGAUUAAUCAAGAUAUGCUUAGGGGCUGUACAAAAUAUUUUUAAAGGUUGAAAUAAUUUAAGCUAAUGAGUAAUUGUUGUUGCUUCACUGUAAAAUCAUUGAGGAAUUAUUCCUAUUGUAACAAAAAAUUGUAAAAACAGAAAUACCUAUUCUAUCGAAUUACCACUAUAAGCUAUAAUGAGGUGGUAAAUAUCUCUUCAUCUUUAAUAAAAAAUUCAAAUUUCGAUUCAAAUUAUCUUUGGCAAGGAGUAUUUUACCCCAAAAUGGGACUUCCAAGUGUGAACUGGAUGAGUAUCAGAUCCUAAAGUGCACGGACGGCUCAAUGGAAUUGGUGCAUUCAUGCGCUUUACCCUUAAACCACCGCUGCUAAAGUGAAUAUUGAAUACCUAAUAAAAAAAAACAAAAAAAUCUAUCUGAGUCUAAAGGUUCUUCUAGUCGGGAAUUUAGAAUUAAAAAAAGAAAAGAAAAGUAGAACAACAAAUUUAGAAGGACUGUCUGAGUAAGAAACAAAUCCUUCAAUUUGAAAGUUCAUGUACCCAAUCCUCCUAUCCUUUAGUUCAUUUUGUAGGAUCAACAGAGAAAGAAAUUAAGCAGAGAUGCAAAAGAACAAACUAGAAACUUAAAGAAGUACAACCAACAACAACAACAACCCAGUAUAAUCCCACUUAGUGAGGUCUGGGGAGGAUAGUGUGUACGCAGACCUUACCCCUACCCUGAGGUAGAGAGGUUGUUUUCAAAUAGACCCCCGGCAUCCUUCCCUCCAAGAACUUCCCACCUUGCUCUUGGGGAGACUCGAACUCACAACCUCUUGGUUGGAAGUGGAGGUUGCUUACCAUCAUAGCAACCCCUUUUGUCUAGAAACUUAAAGAAGUAACUUAGAAAAACACCUAUUAAAUGAUCUGUUUCUUGCUUUGUUUAUAAUUUUGUGUAAUCAAGAAAAAAUAAAUAGAUCACAUACCUUUAAGGAAUAGCCAUCAUAAUCCUCUGGGGUACACCACCCAAUGCUCAAAAAGCACACAAAGAGAAAUUGUUGAUAAUUAGCUUGAGAGAGAUCUAAACAUUUGAGUUGUGAUAUUUAAGCUCACACAUUUUACAUUUAAAUAUGGGUUAUUAAAGAAGCUUUGAAUUAGUAUUCAGUCUAAUAUUGCAGCUGUCAUAUAUCGUUUUUGAAUAUG